GACGAACGCUGGCGGCGUGCCUAAUACAUGCAAGUAGAACGCUGAAGAGAGGAGCUUGCUCUUCUUGGAUGAGUUGCGAACGGGUGAGUAACGCGUAGGUAACCUGCCUGGUAGCGGGGGAUAACUAUUGGAAACGAUAGCUGAUACCGCAUAAAAUUGAUUAUUGCAUGAUAAUUAAUUGAAAGAUGCAACUGCAUCGCUACCAGAUGGACCUGCGUUGUAUUAGCUAGUUGGUGAGGUAACGGCUCACCAAGGCGACGAUACAUAGCCGACCUGAGAGGGUGAUCGGCCACACUGGGACUGAGACACGGCCCAGACUCCUACGGGAGGCAGCAGUAGGGAAUCUUCGGCAAUGGGGGGAACCCUGACCGAGCAACGCCGCGUGAGUGAAGAAGGUUUUCGGAUCGUAAAGCUCUGUUGUAAGAGAAGAACGGGUGUGAGAGUGGAAAGUUCACACUGUGACGGUAUCGUACCAGAAAGGGACGGCUAACUACGU
This 496-nucleotide ribosomal RNA is filed under the name uncultured bacterium. RNAcentral's name for it is "partial 16S ribosomal RNA". It matches the Rfam family "Bacterial small subunit ribosomal RNA", at positions 28 to 506 of the family's 1533-position model. The record is from RNAcentral.